This 297-nucleotide unclassified non-coding RNA is filed under the name uncultured Sordariomycetes. RNAcentral describes it as "sequence contains ITS1". The stretch from base 1 to 105 matches the Rfam family "5.8S ribosomal RNA", at positions 50 to 154 of the family's 154-position model. Lineage: Eukaryota; Fungi; Ascomycota; Sordariomycetes. The record is from RNAcentral.
GAAAUGCGAUAAGUAAUGUGAAUUGCAGAAUUCAGUGAAUCAUCGAAUCUUUGAACGCACAUUGCGCCCGCUAGUAUUCUGGCGGGCAUGCCUGUUCGAGCGUCAUUUCAACCAUCAAGCCCUAUGGCUUGCGAUGGGGCUAUGCGGCUGCCGCAUGCCCUGAAACUCAGUGGCGGGCUCGCCUAUACUCCGAGCGCAGUAAUACAUCUCACUCUGGCCGUAUAGCGGGUUCUUGCCAUAAAACACCCCAAAUUUAAGGUUGACCUCGGAUCAGGUAGGAAUACCCGCUGAACUUAA